RNAcentral lists this microRNA precursor (175 nucleotides) under Pelobates cultripes (western spadefoot toad). The record is from RNAcentral. Lineage: Eukaryota; Metazoa; Chordata; Amphibia; Anura; Pelobatidae.
GUCAGUAGACACAUUCCAGCCAAUCAGCAGCAGACACUCCCUCCCAGACCCUCCCACCUCCUGGACAGCAUCCAUUUUACAUUAAUUGUGAAGCUGCAUUCUUAGUGAGCUGUCCAGGAGGUGGGAGGGUCUGGGAGGGAGGGUCUGCUACUGAUUGGCUGGAAUGUAUCUGCUG